CACCAGCGCCACGAGUGGCUAUCACGAUUAUUGGGCCUAAAGCGUCCGUAGUCGGUUCUGUGCAUCUUCUGUGAAAUCGUUGCGCUUAACGUAACGGCAUGCGGAAGACACGGCCGAACUUGAGACCGGGAGGCGUGAAGGGUACUCUAGGGGGACCGGUAAAAUGGUAUAAUCCCUAGAAGACCACCUGUGGCGAAGGCGCUUCACGAGAACGGAUCUGACGAUGAGGGACGAAAGCCAGGGGAGCAAACCGG
Molecule: ribosomal RNA, 254 nt
Filed under: Thermomicrobia bacterium
Lineage: Bacteria; Pseudomonadati; Thermomicrobiota; Thermomicrobia
Also listed under: 1 other name
Description: partial 16S ribosomal RNA
Rfam family: Archaeal small subunit ribosomal RNA
Source: RNAcentral